UGAUAGCUGUGAAGCGUGAGGUUGCUGCAGGAAGCUGCAGGUUUUCCGUGGAGCGAAUGUCAAGUUAUAAAACUGGCGACAA
This 82-nucleotide non-coding RNA is filed under the name bovine gut metagenome. RNAcentral's name for it is "S10-Clostridia ribosomal protein leader". It matches the Rfam family "S10-Clostridia ribosomal protein leader". The record is from RNAcentral.